GAUGAACGCUGGCGGUGUGCCUAAUACAUGCAAGUCGUACGCAUUCCCGUUUUUGAUUGAAGGUGCUUACACCUGAUUGAUAAAACAUCGGAAUGAGUGGCGGACGGGUGAGUAACACGUGGGUAACCUGCCCAGAAGUGGUGGGAUAACUAGUUUAGGAAACAAGAUGACUAACUACCGCAUAAUAGAUACGAACCACAGUUGGUUCUUUAUUUUAGAAAGAGUCGGUCCUUUGUGCUAU
Molecule: ribosomal RNA, 241 nt
Filed under: uncultured bacterium
Lineage: Bacteria
Description: partial 16S ribosomal RNA
Rfam family: Bacterial small subunit ribosomal RNA
Source: RNAcentral